UACAGAGGGGGCAAGCGUUGUUCGGAAUUACUGGGCGUAAAGGGCGCGUAGGCGGCCCGCUAAGUCGAACGUGAAAUCCCCGAGCUCAACUCGGGAACUGCGUCCGAUACUGGCGGGCUUGAAUCCGGGAGAGGGAUGCGGAAUUCCAGGUGUAGCGGUGAAAUGCGUAGAUAUCAGGAGGAACACCGAUGGCGAAGGCAGGUCUCUGGGCUGACACUGACGCUCAUGCACGAAAGCGUGGGGAGCAAACAGG
RNAcentral lists this ribosomal RNA (253 nucleotides) under uncultured bacterium. Its description in RNAcentral is "partial 16S ribosomal RNA". It matches the Rfam family "Bacterial small subunit ribosomal RNA", at positions 524 to 776 of the family's 1533-position model. The record is from RNAcentral.